AUACGGAGGGUGCAAGCGUUAUUCGGAAUCACUGGGCGUAAAGGGUGCGUAGGCGGUUUGAUAAGUCUGAUGUGAAAUCCUAUGGCUCAACCAUAGAACUGCAUUGGAAACUGUCAGACUAGAAUACUGAAGGGGCAGAUGGAAUUAGUGGUGUAGGGGUAAAAUCCGUAGAUAUCACUAGGAAUACCGAAAGCGAAAGCGAUCUGCUGGGAAGUUAUUGACGCUGAGGCACGAAAGCGUGGGGAGCAAACGGAAUUAGAAACCCUAGUAGUCC
Molecule: ribosomal RNA, 274 nt
Filed under: uncultured bacterium
Lineage: Bacteria
Description: partial 16S ribosomal RNA
Rfam family: Bacterial small subunit ribosomal RNA
Source: RNAcentral